Molecule: non-coding RNA, 1289 nt
Organism: Biomphalaria pfeifferi
Lineage: Eukaryota; Metazoa; Mollusca; Gastropoda; Planorbidae
Source: the annotation of a GenBank genome assembly
AUAAUUAUGUCUUUGUUUAUUCAAGUAAUACAACAAAAUAAAUAGAAAUACUUCAUGACAAAAUAUUGAAAUAUCACUGAUUUAUUUAAGGAUUCAAAUGAAGGUUACUCAUCUCUCAAUCAACCAUCAUAAUUAUCUCCACUAUAGAGAAUAGCUCUUCAUCCUUAAUCCCCAACGCAAUUUUGUUCACAUUCUAAAAUAUCUUGAUAUUAGUUUACAAAUUAUGAAAGACACAUAUGAAAAGGAUAUAAACAGUAAAUACAAAAAAAAAAUGUAAUUAAAAAAAUCUAAUCUUCUAAUACACAGCCAAAUGUGAAUGGACCUAGAGUAGAUAUCACUACACAGUCAAUUGUGUUAACAGUAACAUCCUAAACAUCAUGGACUAAACAGUUAAGUCUAUAGUAUAUAAUAAUAGAAAUGACUACUACCCAGUUAACAAUUAGAAUAUAUUGGAAAAUAACAAUUAACUUCGACAAAAUGAUACAUUUAUGUUAAUAAUAUCAUGGUUAAAUAAUGUUUUAAAUGUUCAAUGUCAGCUACAGUAGUGUAUUUAAUCAAUUAUUUUCCUUUCCAUAUGCACAAUCAGUGCAUUGUUGCAACUAAAUUGCAACAAAUUAAACAAUGCAUAAGCCUUUCAAACUUUACUUUGUUUUUUUUAAACUGCAUUUUUAAAAGUCCUUUAACAUGUAGUUCAAUACAGGAAAAAAAAAUACACCAAAUCUUAGUUUAGAAUGAACUAUGUAAUUUAAUUGUGUCAGUUGUAUAUUUUAUGACACUUUGCUUCCUAACAAAAUUGGAUCUGCAACCUGGUUUAAAAUUGUUUUCUUAUGUUAAAAAAAAAAAGGAUAUGAUUUAUUAUUAGAACAAGUGAAACAGGAAUAAUCACAGAUAGGGGAGUAUUUAAGUUUUCUCAUUUUGGAAACAGUUUUACAAAAAAGCUUAGAUAACAUUUCAGACUAUGCACCUUCAUCAACUGAUCUACCAAUAUGUCAUCUUGUUAGAUUGUUGUUAGUGGAUGGCAAAUCAAAUCAAGCCAAACAGAAAGUGUUCAAUGGAGAUAUGAAGGUUAUUUUUUUUUCUUAAAUAUAUUCAAGUCAAAGUGUUAGCUCAAAAUCAUCAAUUAUGGUCAUAGAAUGAAAAACUUUGUAUUUCCAGUAAAAAUGCUCUUUAUCUCUUGAUGGUUAAUGUAAUUCAAUGCUUGACUCAAUUUCCAGCACAAAUUUGUUUAGAGUAUCUAUUUUUAAGAAUUAAAACUAGAUUUUUAAGAUGAGCCCCCCCCCCCCCUUCCC